This 119-nucleotide small nucleolar RNA is filed under the name Macleaya cordata. RNAcentral's name for it is "Small nucleolar RNA snoR104". It matches the Rfam family "Small nucleolar RNA snoR104". Lineage: Eukaryota; Viridiplantae; Streptophyta; Magnoliopsida; Ranunculales; Papaveraceae. The record is from Rfam by way of RNAcentral.
GGGGAGCAUCCAAGAGUUGAGAUGCUUCUUGAUACAAUCUUCCUAAAGAAAAGAUUGGUAAUUUCCUGCUUGUGGUUCUUGUAAAAAGCUCUGCAAGUCUCAAAUUACCAGACAUUCGA